UACGGAGGAUCCAAGCGUUAUCCGGAUUUAUUGGGUUUAAAGGGUGCGUAGGCGGCUUAUUAAGUCAGGGGUGAAAGACGGUGGCUCAACCAUCGCAGUGCCUUUGAUACUGAUGAGCUUGAAUGAACUAGAGGUAGGCGGAAUGUGACAAGUAGCGGUGAAAUGCAUAGAUAUGUCACAGAACACCAAUUGCGAAGGCAGCUUACUAUGGUUUUAUUGACACUGAGGCACGAAAGCGUGGGGAUCAAACAGG
RNAcentral lists this ribosomal RNA (253 nucleotides) under uncultured bacterium. RNAcentral describes it as "partial 16S ribosomal RNA". It matches the Rfam family "Bacterial small subunit ribosomal RNA", at positions 524 to 776 of the family's 1533-position model. The record is from RNAcentral.